RNAcentral lists this small nucleolar RNA (83 nucleotides) under Oryza meridionalis. Its description in RNAcentral is "snoRNA snoZ256". It matches the Rfam family "Small nucleolar RNA Z256". From Rfam's summary of the family: Z256 is a member of the C/D class of snoRNA which contain the C (UGAUGA) and D (CUGA) box motifs. The record is from Rfam by way of RNAcentral. Lineage: Eukaryota; Viridiplantae; Streptophyta; Magnoliopsida; Poales; Poaceae.
ACCUGCCGGUCAUGCUGACCAUUGCCACUGACAGGGCUACCAAGGUACACCGUAAACAGCUAGGCCGAGCUAAAGGGAUAGUU